AUAGGAUUUUUCUCGGACUUCAAUCUAUGCGCACAGUCUCUGAGCUCCGUGUUUGUGCAUCAAUGGCGUCUUCUUCCCUAUCGACCUUCUCCAGACCUCAGUCGUCUUCUCUGCUUACCAGAGACAUCGCCAAUUCUAACUUUUCCCACCCUCUCUCCGCAAAUCUAUCCUCCAGAACAAAUGUUUCCCUCCAGUUUCUGGGCAACAGACAGCCACCACUUCUCUCUUCCACCCCGAGGUUUCUAACUGUCAUCGCCAUGGCUCCGCCUAAACCCGGAGGCAAACCCAAGAAAGUUGUCGGGAUGAUAAAGCUGGCUCUAGAGGCCGGGAAAGCAACUCCGGCGCCGCCGGUGGGCCCGGCGCUUGGUUCGAAGGGAGUGAACAUAAUGGCGUUUUGUAAGGAUUACAAUGCAAGAACCGCUGACAAAGCCGGUUAUGUCAUUCCUGUCGAAAUCACCGUCUAUGAUGAUAGAAGCUUCACUUUUAUCCUCAAGACCCCUCCUGCUUCGGUUUUGUUGCUUAAAGCUGCAGGAGUCGAAAAGGGUUCAAAAGAUCCGAAGCAGCAGAAAGUCGGGGAGAUAACCAUAGACCAGCUACGCACUAUUGCAACAGAGAAGCUGCCCGAUCUAAACUGCAUGACAUUGGAAUCGGCAAUGAGAAUCAUUGCGGGAACUGCGGCUAACAUGGGGAUAGACAUAGAUCCUCCUGUUCUUGAACCCAAAAAGAAAGUAGCUUUGUAAAACAAGCAUCCUCCCUCUGUUCUUCUUUAGCUCUACCUCCUGUAUUCAUUCGAAAAUAUGCCUCAAGGGAGGAAAGUUGCAUUCUUGAUGCGUGACUUUGGAAGUUUCCGCGUUUUCUUGCUUUUGCAGUUCCCAUGAAACAUGCAAGAAUCGGUUGGUUAAGAUCUUGAGAAUGGGAAGUAACUAAUCAGAUUGACUCGGCUGAUACGGACGAUGAAGAAGAAAACGGAAAACAGCUCGAAAUGGGAACUCAUUCUACGUUUAAUCCAUGAACCGAAUUUUAGCCAUUAAAGGAAAGAGAAUCGUCUCUCCU
Molecule: RNA transcript, 1053 nt
Organism: Tarenaya hassleriana
Lineage: Eukaryota; Viridiplantae; Streptophyta; Magnoliopsida; Brassicales; Cleomaceae
Gene name: 50S ribosomal protein L11, chloroplastic-like
Exons: 5
Source: RefSeq, a predicted model, not a curated record